This 102-nucleotide transfer RNA is filed under the name Sphagnurus paluster. RNAcentral describes it as "tRNA-Pro". It matches the Rfam family "tRNA". From Rfam's summary of the family: Transfer RNA (tRNA) molecules are approximately 80 nucleotides in length. The record is from RNAcentral. Lineage: Eukaryota; Fungi; Basidiomycota; Agaricomycetes; Agaricales; Lyophyllaceae.
GGCCUAGUGGUCUAGUAGCAUGAUACCUCCUUCGGGGCGUCGAGUUCCGCGUGUAACACGUAAGCUUGGAGGUGGUCCUGGGUUCAAUUCCCAGCUAGGCCC